Oryzias melastigma (Indian medaka) is the source of this 5318-nucleotide RNA transcript. It is a transcript of the gene named ArfGAP with coiled-coil, ankyrin repeat and PH domains 1, with no coding region annotated. Lineage: Eukaryota; Metazoa; Chordata; Actinopteri; Beloniformes; Adrianichthyidae. The transcript is spliced from 23 exons. The record is from RefSeq and is a predicted model, not a curated record.
GAAAAAAAACUAUUUUAGUUCUAGUUCUAGCUAACCCUCAUAGACAGUAUUUGGCAGCAACAAACCUUCUGGCAUAUUUCUCAACAAAAACACAACAGACCAGUUUGUCAAGUGAUCACACUCACACCCAGUCAGUUUCCUUACAGCAAACCCCUGAAGCCAACAGGCAGGAGAAACUGAAGGACAGGCAUAUGUUGUCCUGGAUGUAUUUAUCUGUCAGAGUUUGGUAGUGAUGCACUGCUGUCGAACUGAGCGCAGUUUCAUAACUGUUUUAAGAGCGACUGCAAACCCGGAAAUGGAGUGAAGUGUGAUGGCAAGGAGAGGAGGGGGGACGACCUCACGCGCGCGCUAGAGAGAGGCGCAGAGACUCGAACUUCUGACAGACCGCUACACACAAGCCGCUCUGAACUCAGCAGGAACUUUUAGUCCCACCGGAGCUCAACCUUUCGGAUAAGAUGAUCCCAGCGCUCCGAUCUCCGUCCGCGCGCGUCCAUCAGUGCUGACAGGACACGAGCCGAGCCGAGGGCGCGCGGAAAGAGCCGAACUUCUUUAGGAAGACGAUUCGACUUGAGACGAUGCGCCAACCUGCGGGAAUGGACUACUGAAGAAGAAGAAAAAAAAGCAGACGAAGAAAAGUUCCAAAAGGAGUAAGACGCGCCGUUUUUACGCACAGAAACGCCAGGAUGACCGUGAAGCUGGACUUUGAGGAGUGUUUGAAAGACUCUCCACGCUUCAGAGCUGCCAUCGAAGACGUCCAAACCGACGUGAGUGAACUCGAGACUCGACUAGACAAGCUUGUGAAACAAUGCCAGGCCAUGCUGGACGCGGGCCGGGCCUAUUGUCAGACCAGCAAGAGCUUUUUCAACGGCCUUCGGGAACUGGGACACCAGUGUUCCAGGGACACGAUGAUGGAGGAAUGCUUGGGCACAUUUUCCACAAAGUUGUCAGUCAUCCUGGAGGCUCAGGGGGAAAUGAUCGAGACCACACAGAAGUCGGUGAAGACAAAGCUGCAGAACUUUGUGAAGGAAGAUGUUCGUCGUUUCACGGAAGUGCGCAAAAAGUUUGAGCGCAGCAGUGAGGCCCUGGAGGGGGCGCUGGCGAGGAACGCUCAGGCUCCACGAGGGAAGCAGCAUGAGGUGGAGGAGGCGAGUAACGCUCUGUUAAAUGCUCGGCGGGGCUUUCGAUGCGAGGCUUUGGAUUACGUUCUCCAGAUAAACGUCAUUGAAGCCAAGAAGAAAACGGAUAUUGUGAUGGCUAUGCUGCUGCUGAUGGAAGCCCAAGCCCAGUUUUUCCAACAAAGCCACGAGUCUCUUUCCGAGCUCGAUGAAUAUCGACAGAAACUGAAUGCAGAGCACACCCAGUUUGUUCUGGACUCUGCCAGGGAAAAGAGAGACAUGGAGCAAAGACACGCGGCAGUCAAGAAGAAGGAUGUGUCUUAUGAUGACUCCAUUAUGGACUUUAAUGCUGACUCUACUAAUGGAAUUGCAAUGGAGGGCUACUUAUACAAGAGAGCCAGCAAUGCCUUUAAGACCUGGAGCAGACGUUGGUUUUCGAUUCAGAAAAACCAGCUGGUGUAUCAGAAGAAAUUCAAGGAGCAGCCCACGGUUGUGGUGGAGGACCUGCGUCUGUGCACAGUCAAGACCAGCUCUGAAAACGAGCGAAGGUUCUGCUUUGAAGUGGUGUCCCCUUCAAAAUGCUGCCUGCUGCAAGCGGACUCAGAAAGGCAGCAGCAAGGAUGGAUCAGCGCCGUCCAGAACAGCAUCGCCUCAGCUUUCCAAGAGCGCCGGGAGGACACGCAGAGCCCGAGACAGCGCUGCAGUUCCAUGUCGCAGAGCAUCAUGCGGGCCGGAGGGAGCGGAGGAUGCGUGGAUCAGGAGAACAACGACUGCAAGGCGCUGGAGGACAUCCAGGCGAUCCCGGGGAACCGGCAGUGCUGUGACUGCGGGGAGCCCAGCCCCGAUUGGGCCUCCAUCAACCUGGGCAUCACGCUGUGUAUUGUCUGCUCUGGAAUACACAGGAGCCUGGGAGUUCAUUUUUCCAAAGUGCGCUCACUCACACUCGACUCCUGGGAGCCAGAGCUCAUUAAGUUGAUGUGCGAGUUGGGCAAUAACGUGAUCAAUCGAAUCUAUGAGGCACGCAUUGACGAGAUCACCAUCAAGAAGCCCAAUCCUGCCAGUCCAAGGGGGGACAAGGAAUCGUGGAUUCGAUCAAAAUAUGUUGAAAAGAAGUUUAUUCACAAACUGCCGGAGACUGGAAGGAAUCCUCAGUUGAGCCGGUCGAAUAACAGAGCGACCUCGCUGAUGCAAAAACCGCCUCUCAAGCCCAAACCGAGCCGAUCGCUGCUGCCUCGCAUCACAGGACUGAGCACCAGUGAUACUAACCAAAAGAACAGUUCAGACUUCAAUAAAGACGAGGAGGAGGAAGAUCUCAGUGGGCUCCAUCCCGGAGCGCUGCUGUACCGCUCGGCCGCGCUGCAGAACUUCCCCCUCAUGGCUGACGCCCUAGCCCACGGAGCUGACGUCAACUGGGUCAAUCUGUCCGAGGACUCCAGCACGCCAAUGAUACAAGCUGUGUUGGUGAACGCCCUUGCAGCCUGCGAGUUCCUGCUGCAGAAUGGAGCCAACGUCAAUCAGGCUGACAGCAACGGGAGGGGACCCCUGCACCACGCCACUAUCCUGGGUCACACAGGACUGGUUUGUCUCUUUUUGAAGCGAGGCGCCGACUACAACGCCCGGGAUAAGAGCCAAAAAGACCCCUUAACUAUCGCUGUGGAGAAUGCAAAUGCAGACAUCGUGACUCUAUUGCGGAUCACCAAAAUGAACAAGGAGAUGCGGGAGAUGGAUGGAGCAUUCGGCCAAUCAGGUCAUUGUGAGGAGCAGGGUUCGGGGGAUACACUGGGCAGGACGGGGCGUUCGCUGGUUCACCCCCGAAAGGGCCUCCGUGCUUUAAAGAACCACAUAAGUAGCUGGAAUAUGGGGGGUACACAUGACUAAAAGGGCUUAGAUGACUGGCUAAAACACAAACCAACAUAAGGAAAAACUUAAGUUUUGUAAUUGUGAAUAAAGAAAAAGGUAGAAAAUAAGGUACUACAACAAAACAGCAAAUUGGAGCUUAAUUUAUUAAAUCUUAAGCACUUUGCAUUAUUAUUCAUUCUCCGGCACUUUAAAAACCAAAAAGCAUAUCCAGAACAUAAAUGUGCUGUCAUUGUGCUGCUGCUGUCUGAAAUAAAGCAGGCCUAUCUCUAGUAAUAUUUUGGAUAUUUUUAUAUCCAGUAUGUAGUGUAUUGACACUAAGAUAGGUACUGGACCUUCAUCCAGUCCUGCAAGUCAAAUUUAGCUUUGAUUUUAGUUCUUAAGAACAAUUUCCUGCCUCUAUUCUGUGAAUAGUGACUCACUUGGAGUUCUUCACGCUGGUCGAUAUGACUCUCAUUGAAGAGAACUUGAUGCUGUCAGCUGGAGCCCUUAUGUCUGUGCUGUCUUGGUAUUACGAACAGCAGGGUUUUUUUUUCUUUGCAUUUUGUUCUUCUUAUGGAGAGAAAAUAGACUCACUGGAUUUGUGUGUGUGUGUGAGUAAGACACUUGAUUUGUAACUUGUGUCUGCCUGUUUUUUUGUAACUUUGGAUUUGUGUGUGCUUAAUUCUUGGUUUGUAACUCAUUUAUGCGUAACUGUGUGUAUUUGCAUGAUUAGUCAAAAAUACAAAAUACAAUUUACUCACGCUUUAAAUUACAGCAGCUUAAAACUAAUUUCGAAACAACCCCCAUGCUAACAAAUGAUUAAAAAGUAAACACCCAUUUCCCAAUACACACAAAAAACUGUAAUUACACACAGAUCAAAGUUACAAAUGCACAAGGAGAGUUUCACAUCUCAAGAUUUGUGCAUAGACGAUGUGUUUAAAUGCUGCUAGAAUGCUGGGUCAUCAGCUUUCUAUUAGUCGCUUCGAAAUUAAAUGAUUAACAAUGAAAAAAGAAUCUAAAGAAAUAUUUUUUGAUAAAUGUAUUAAUAUUUGUCUAAUGACCCAGCAUUCUAGCAGCAUUUAAAUGCAUCUUCUACUUACAAAUCUGGUGAUGUGGAAAAAGUCUCAACCCCUUGAAACACUGAUUUGUGCAUAAAUGUGGUUUUCUGUGCGUAUCAGGCGAUUGGUGUGUACUACUUAAACAUUUAUAUUGUUAGGAGCCGUUUUGAUUCAGUAGUUAGUGUUAAGCUGCUGUAAUUUCAAGUUAUGUGCGCGUAAAGUAUAUUUUCUGUUUGUAUCUUUUUGAUAUUCCAGUGUACAUGUAAAUACACAAUUGCAAUUGGACACAAAAUGUAGUUACAAAUCAAGUAUUAUGUACACACAAAUCCAAAGUUACUCACAAACAAACAGGGAGACACAAGUUAUAAGUGAAGAACUAUGCGCACACAGAUCCAGUGAGACUAUUUUCUUUCCAUACCAUACAGCUCUUUUUCUGAGCUUGAAAGUCUGUUCUUUUCGUGAUUGUGCUCGGGGGUUCUGGAAGUCUGAGGGUUUCAGACAUGAAGGAGUAGAAAUUUGUGACGUGUUUGUCUGCUUGAAUUGGCUGCCGGUCAGUACUUGCCAUGACGUGCGUUUUUGUUGUGUCCUUUUUUUUUGUUUGUGUGUUUGUUUUCGUUGGCUCUCACGUGUGUCUUUGCCAUCUGCCCGCUGAGAUGUCCAUCUGGUCUCAAAUGCUUGCGCAGUGUGCCACCUGCAGCAAAUUAAGAGGUGAUGAAACCUACCAGGACAUUUUCAGAGACUUUUCACAUAUGGCCUCAAACAAUCCCGAGAAGCUGAGACGCCGCAGCAUGGACCCCAAAUCCUAACCAGCAGAGGGGCCUUCCCCGUCCGUCGCACCUCGACUCCACAUGUUUUCACGCUGGAACAGAAGCGUUUCAGCUCUCAGGCAUGCAGACACGCGCUCCUCCUGGCUGCCCGCCAUUCGUUCAGUCACAGCUCAGCUGGUGCUGCCUGGAGAGCCCCCACACAGGGAAUUCUCUGUGUGAGCAUUGUGUCUCACUGAACCAGCUUUACGAGGCCAGUAUGAGGUGUGAAGAGCCCAACAUCGCUAUGCCAAAUACAACCUGUAAAUCCUUUUUUUUUUAUUCAAAAAAAGAUAUUUUUAUGACAUUUUGCUUUCUAAACUGAGUUUAUAAACACAAAUCCAUUUGAUAAAAAAACAGUAAAAGUUGUGAAAAAUUUAAAUUUAUUCUUUCUCUGUGAAUUGUUUGCAAAUUUCUACAUUCCAGACAGUGUUUCUGUUCACAUUUAUAAAGAUACUUAAAAUCUGUGCUAUGAAAAAUAAACCACAAUGGAAACAUUUUAA